RNAcentral lists this long non-coding RNA (302 nucleotides) under Nicotiana benthamiana. Its description in RNAcentral is "long non-coding RNA (NBEN_LNC001890)". Lineage: Eukaryota; Viridiplantae; Streptophyta; Magnoliopsida; Solanales; Solanaceae. The record is from RNAcentral.
UACAUACUACCCUCCCCAGACCCCACUAAGUGGGAUUAUACUGGGUUGUACUUUUUCAAUUAGUUCUCAUCAACAAAGAGUUCAUAAUACAUAGAUUCUGUAAACAAUCUCAGGCUAGAAAACACAAGCUGUAAAGCUUGCCAAAUGAAACCUGUUAAGUGACAAAACAACCAUUUUACAUGAAAGACAAAUAUAUAGAAAUCUGACUUCAUCAAAUAAAGAAAGUGAAAACACAGAUAUUUAAUGGAUACACAAUUUUAGGGAGCUUAUUAACAACAAGAUUUACAGACACACAUCCUUUA